Molecule: long non-coding RNA, 2284 nt
Filed under: Marmota monax (woodchuck)
Lineage: Eukaryota; Metazoa; Chordata; Mammalia; Rodentia; Sciuridae
Source: RNAcentral
CCGGAGCCGAGCGGGGCGGAAGCGCGCGUAGCGCUGCUGCUCGGGCCCGACCGCGCCGGCCCCCGCACCUCCCGGCCGGGGCUGCCGGCUGAGGUCGGGGCGGUCCUGGGGCGGAGGCGCCUGCUGCCGGCCGCGUUUCCGCGAAGUCUGGCUCGCUGGUUCCCGGAACCGAGCGGGGAAGGCCGGAGUGUGUUGCGGUUUCGCUUCUUCUAGCCAGCCUGGCGUUUGGUUUCGCCGGUCCCGGGGGCCGGGGGUGCGACCUCUCCUCUGGGCCAUUAGACAGCCCCAGGCUCGAAGAAGAGACUGCGCCGGCGCCCGCGGGUUUGCGUUUCCUUUGCAUAUCGUUUUCUGCCCUCAAAGUGAAGUUUCUGACCUUGGGGGCGUUGGGAGAGGUUAAGUUCCUUUCCCUAGGUAAUCCAUCCAUUGAGAGGCUUCAGGUGGUUGGGUGGGAACGCCUGGCGUGACCUGGAGGGUCGCUCUACUAUCAGACAGACCUAGGUUCCAGUCCUAGCCCUGUCACUUACUGAUUAUGACCUACCCUAAUGCCUUAUCAAGGACCCUGAGUUUCCCCAUCUGAGGCUAUUAGUACCAAUCAGCGAUGACAUGGCCACCUUGACUGUCACGUGCGGGGCCCAGGGAAAGGUGAUUUCCCCUUAAAGGUUAUGACUGGUGACGGUCCAGUCCAUCUAGUAGGCCUGGUCUGCUUGCAUGGGUGACGUAGAGGUUUUUUCCUAAGUUAAACCCCCCAGUUCAUGGUAGAUAAAGGCUGAUCUAAAGAGGAACUAGUGGGAGUGAGGGGAUUCCCCAGGCAUUAGGAGGUCCAUAGUCAUGAUUACUGUAGUGACUCUGCACAUGUGGGGUUUCUGGCUUUUCACAGAUUCCUCAACAGGAAGAAUACCAUACUUAGUUUCAAAUCCUGCCUCUGCCAUUAGCUAGCAGUCUUGGUUUGCCAAACUGUAAAAUGGGGGCCAUUGGAUACCUUCCUCCAAUCUGUAGGACUAUGGCAACUCCUGCCAGGGUCCCAGCAGGUGCUUUAAUAGCUUCCAGUGAGGCCCAGUAGUUCCCUUGAUCUUGUUAAAGCAUCAGAGACUUCCAGGGAGUUAGGUUGGGCAGGAGAGGAAGAAGGGCAAGAGAGGAGAUAGCCAUCUACCUAAACUUCAAAGCUCCCAGCAAUAUGAUCUUGAGAAAAGCAAUUACCCUCUCUGAUAUUUGAUUGGGUGACAAAAAUCUCGAAAGCCCUCUUGGAGUUAACAUUCUGUAGGUUGAUGACUGUGCUCCUGGGGAAGUUUGGGGGAGGGGGGCGGGGGACAGAUGACUAGUGUGCAUUUGCCUUGCGGUGUUCCUCUUUUUCUACCAGUUCUUCCUGACAUCUAAUCUUCUUUCCUCUUGUUAUAAUUAACCAUCAGGACAGAAGUUGAAAAAGUUAUAUAUUACUCUGUCUUUUAGUAAUUACUUCACUGGACUGACCAUGCAAGAUACACAGAUAACACCCAGGCUAGUGGGGGUAUCAGACAUAGAGAAAUAACUAAGAUGGUAAGGGCUAUGAAUAGUGCCCACACGGUCAGGGAGUGGAGUAACUGUGUUUGUGGGCUCAGGAAAGGCUUGAGCUAGGACCCAGUGGGUGACAAGGGUUUACUGGCAGAUGUGGGGAAGAAGAACAUCCGGUGGAGGAGAACAGCAUAGUCAAAGGCACAGGAGCAGGAACCAUAAAGUUAGUGUGCUAGAGUUUUGUAUUGUGGCAACCACAUGGCAGUCUGUGUGGCAGGAGAAGGAUGGGGGAAUGGCAGGAAGGUGACAGUGAGGAGCCUUGGAUGUCUUGCCAAGGAGUUUGGGCUUAAUCCUUAGGGAAAUGGGGAGCUGUGGGACUUUUAAGUAAAGGGUGCAUGGUCCUACUAACACUAACACAUGGGUUGUCAAAUGAGGGAUUGGAUAGGGUUGGGAGAUGAUAGGACAGCAAUUCUCUAACCUUUCAAGUCCUUGGCGGUCUGGUUCACAUGCAGAUUCUAAUCCAGUAGGUCUGGGGUGGGGUCUGAGAACCAUUAUUUUUAAAAAGCCCCCACAUGAGGCUGUGUGGCUGAUCCAAAGAGGGCAUGGGGUUAGCCUCUUAGGGUUCAUGUGCGAGAUGAGGCUUCAACUCUGGUGGCAGCAGGUGAAAGAAAGUUUGGGUGUGAGGAUAUUAAGAAGAUGGCAUAUAGCUGGUGCAUGGCGUACUGUGUAAUCCCAGCAGCUCAGGAGGCUGAGGUAGGAGGAUCACGAGUUCAAAGCCAGCCUCAGCAAAUAGGGC